GGAAAUUCAAGUGUGAGCACACACUCAGG
This 29-nucleotide non-coding RNA is filed under the name Rattus norvegicus (Norway rat). Lineage: Eukaryota; Metazoa; Chordata; Mammalia; Rodentia; Muridae. The record is from RNAcentral.